This 512-nucleotide ribosomal RNA is filed under the name uncultured bacterium. RNAcentral describes it as "bacterial SSU rRNA". It matches the Rfam family "Bacterial small subunit ribosomal RNA", at positions 29 to 518 of the family's 1533-position model. The record is from RNAcentral.
AACGAACGCUGGCGGCGUGCUUAACACAUGCAAGUCGAGCGCGAAAGGGACUUCGGUCCUGAGUAAAGUGGCGGCACGGGUGAGUAACGCGUAGAUAACCUGUCUUCAUGUCUGGAAUAAUACGCCGAAAGGGGUACUAAUACCGGAUAUUCUUGCGUUUUCAUAAGUUAUGCAAGCAAAGGUGGCCUCUGCAUAUGCUACUGCAUGAAGAGGGGUCUGCGUACCAUUAGCUAGUAGGUGGGGUAAUGGCCUACCUAGGCGACGAUGGUUAGCGGGUCUGAGAGGAUGAUCCGCCACACUGGCACUGGAACACGGGCCAGACUCCUACGGGAGGCAGCAGUGAGGAAUAUUGCGCAAUGGGGGAAACCCUGACGCAGCGACGCCGCGUGAGUGAGGAAGGCCUUCGGGUCGUAAAGCUCUGUCAAGAGGAAAGAAGUGUACAAUGGCUAAUACCUGUUGUAUUUGACGGUACCUCUAAAGGAAGCACCGGCUAACUCCGUGCCAGCCGCCGC